This 252-nucleotide ribosomal RNA is filed under the name uncultured bacterium. RNAcentral's name for it is "partial 16S ribosomal RNA". It matches the Rfam family "Bacterial small subunit ribosomal RNA", at positions 524 to 776 of the family's 1533-position model. The record is from RNAcentral.
UACGUAGGGUGCGAGCGUUGUCCGGAAUUAUUGGGCGUAAAGAGCUUGUAGGCGGUUUGUCGCGUCUGCUGUGAAAAUCCGGGGCUCAACCCCGGACUUGCAGUGGGUACGGCAGACUAGAGUGUGGUAGGGGAGACUGGAAUUCCUGGUGUAGCGGUGAAAUGCGCAGAUAUCAGGAGGAACACCGAUGGCGAAGGCAGGUCUCUGGGCCACUACUGACGCUGAGAAGCGAAAGCAUGGGGAGCGAACAGG